Oncorhynchus nerka (sockeye salmon) is the source of this 2510-nucleotide long non-coding RNA. RefSeq lists it as uncharacterized. The transcript has 7 exons. Lineage: Eukaryota; Metazoa; Chordata; Actinopteri; Salmoniformes; Salmonidae. The record is from RefSeq and is a predicted model, not a curated record.
UGCGUGUGCGUGUGUGUGCCUGCGUGCGUGCGUGUGUGUGUGUGUGUGUGCAUGCAUGCGUGCGUGCGUGCGUGCGCGUGUGUGUGUGUGUGUGUGUGUGUGUGUGUGUGUGUGUGUGUGUGUGUGUGCAGAGGCAGAAGGAUAUGGGCUAGAGGGACCAGCUGAGUUUUCAAAACUUUCACAGGAGACCGAAAUAGCCCCGAGAGUGUUCACCACUUUAACCGCUCGUGUGUCCUGUCCUUCUGCACGUCCUUUGACUCCCAGAGUGAUCAGUGGGAAGAGGGAAGAGAACAAGAAAGAGAGGGGGAAAAAAUCUGCAAAAGACUGAUGACCCCGGACAUAGUGAAUAAUCGGAAGCCGCGGAGUGAGGAGGGAAGGAGGGACGGAGCGAGGGAGGCAUUCAAAGGGAACAGAGCUAUCCUCAAAGAAUCAUACCAGGUAUUCAACUGCACUGAACACACACGGGACAUCGUAAAAAUGGGAUGGUCCGUUCAUCACUGUCAGAGAGACAGGGUAUCAUAACUGUGCAGCUUGGAUGAGCCUCGUCUCCUACCAUCGUCAUGGGUUGUUGACCCAUCACUGAGGCAGGGAGUCGGGAACAGACAGGAGGGGUUUGUGACUGCAUGGCCACCGCUCCACACUAACGUGUCACUCUGUCUUUAAUUACCAGCCGUUUGACCUGGUCAUAACUCACAGCCAGUCUCUGUCAGCGUGUAUUCUAUGGGCUUGUGUGUGUACUUUUAUUGGCCCCCAUCCUAGUAUAUUGUCAUAUGUGUUGUGUAAAUGUGUAUACCUCAGUGUACGUUGAGAUGAUAACAUGGAUGCUUUUCCAUGAACAGCAUCCUCACCUCUUCCAACCAUGAUACACUAUAUGUAGAAAGAUAUGUGGACACACCUUCAAAUUAGUGGAUUCAUCUAUUUCAGCCACACCCGUUGCUGAGAGUUGUAUAAAAUUGGGCACACAGCUAUGCAAUCUCCAUAGACAAACAUUGGCAAACAAGCUUUGGCUGGGGUGGUGUAAAGCUCGCCACGAUUGGACUCUGGAGCAGUGGAAAUGUGCCGGAACAAGGCUACCUGUCCGAAUGCAGAGUGACACCUGUAAAGUUUGGUGGAGGAGGAAUAAUGGUCUGAGGCUGUUUUUCAUUGUUCAGGCUAGGUCCCUUAGUUAAUCUUAACACUACGGCAUACAAUAACAUUCUAGAUAAUUCUGUGCUUCCAACUUUGUGGCAACAGUUUGUGGAUUAUCCCAUCCUGUUUCAGCAUGACAGUGCCCCUGUGUGCAAAGUGAGGUCCAUAGAGAAAUGGUUUGUCAAGAUCGGUGUGGAAGAACUUGACUGGCCAGAACAAAGCCCUGACCUCAACCCCAUCGCUGACUGCGAGCCAGAACUAAUCAUCCAGCAACAGUGCCCGACCACACUAAUGCUCUUGUGGCUGAAUGGAAGCAAGUCACAGCAGCAAUGUUCCAACAUCUAGUGGAAAGUCUUCCCAGAAGAGUGGAGGCUGUUAUAGCAGCAAAGGGGGGGACCAACUCCAUUUUAAUUCCGUGAUUUUGGAAUGAGAUGUUCUGUUCAACCUGAUUUUCCCUCUCUCUCUCUCUCUCUCUCUCUCCUCUCUUUCCCCUCUCUCUCUCCUCUCUUUCCCCCUCUCUCUCCUCUCUUUCCCCCCUCUCUAUCUCGCUCUUCUCUCUAUCGCUCUAUUUCCGCUCUCAUACCUUGUAUAUAAUCCUCAUGAAAGCGUUGAGGGGCGGAGCAGCGAAGGUCAACCCAGUGAGUCAGUGACUAUGCAGGAUGUGCUAUUGACUCAAUGGAGAGAGAUGGUGGCAUCCCCUCCCUGGUGUGUUUGGGCAGGUCCAGGACCACUUUGGGAUGUGCUUACCUCAGUGGUGUCCCAGAACAGAAUGGGCAAGAUCCCCAGAUAGCUCAACUCUGAUAGAGAGCAUGGGGAACUCUCUGACAGAGUGCAGACACACCUCUUUUCUCCCCUUCCCUUUCUCUCUCUUUCUCUCUCCAUCUCUCUAAUAAGCUCAGAUUUCCCCCAUGAUGAAGCUCACCAUUGCCAAAAACUGCCUUGGACAGCAAACCUGAUCGACUCUGUGCCGCAGGGACCAGAAAAUGAUGGACACAAUUCAAUGGAUAUCAAUCAACAAAGAGGUAUGCAGACGAGGAGACAUACAGUAGAAAGGUAUGCCAAUUGGUAUCGAUAUGUUAUGCAGAUCACAUUUACCAUCGUCCUCCCUGACCUCGUCAAUGAAUAUCCCAUAGGCCUCUACAUUAUGGACAAGACUUCACCCUCCCUAACACCUCUGAAGAAUAUAACAGGGAACCUGUUCGAUCACCAUCCACUACAAAAUCAGUCUGGCUAUGGAUACAGAGAACAUCAACACAUUAACAUCAACAGGCCAGAGGAUAUAACCAUUGGACUUGGUGCUCUGCUGGGAGUUUACCUCAUGUUUGUUUUUGUUUUUAAUUAUGCUUUCCCACUAAAAUCAUAAUACACACUGAGAACUACAA